RNAcentral lists this ribosomal RNA (508 nucleotides) under uncultured bacterium. Its description in RNAcentral is "partial 16S ribosomal RNA". It matches the Rfam family "Bacterial small subunit ribosomal RNA", at positions 28 to 507 of the family's 1533-position model. The record is from RNAcentral.
GACGAACGCUGGCGGCGUGCUUAACACAUGCAAGUCGAACGGGAUAAUUUGAGAGCUUGCUCUUAGAGAAUCUAGUGGCAAACGGGUGAGUAACACGUAGACAACCUGCCGACAGGAUGGGGACAACAUUCCGAAAGGAAUGCUAAUACCGAAUGAAGCGGAGGAGAGGCAUCUCUCCUCCGCGAAAGAUGGCCUCUGAAUAUGCUAUCACCUGUCGAUGGGUCUGCGUCUGAUUAGCUAGUUGGUGAGGUAACGGCUCACCAAGGCGACGAUCAGUAGCCGGUCUGAGAGGAUGAACGGCCACAUUGGGACUGAGACACGGCCCAGACUCCUACGGGAGGCAGCAGUGGGGAAUCUUCCGCAAUGGGCGCAAGCCUGACGGAGCAACGCCGCGUGAGCGAAGAAGGUCUUCGGAUCGUAAAGCUCUGUUGACGGGGACGAACGUGCGAAGGGUGAAUAAUCCUUUGUAAUGACGGUACCUGUCGAGGAAGCCACGGCUAACUACGUG